GACGAACGCUGGCGGCGUGCUUAACACAUGCAAGUCGAACGGAAAGGCCCUGCUUUUUUGGGGUUCUCGAUUGGCGAACGGGUGAGUAACACGUGAGUAACCUGCCCUUGACUUUGGUAUAACUUCAGGAAACUGGGGCUAAUACCGUAUAGGAUCUCCUGCUGCAUGGUGGGGGUUGGAAAUUUUCGGCUGUUGGGGCUGGACUCGCGGCUUAUCAGCUUGUUGGUUGGGUAGUGGCUUACCAAGGCUUGGACGGGUAGCCGGCCUGAGAGGGUGAACGGCCACAUUGGGACUGCGAUACGGCCCAGACUCCAACGGGAGGCAGCAGUGGGGAAUCUUGCACAAUGGGCGGAAGCCUGAUGAAGAAACGCCGCGUGCGGGAUGACGGCCUUCGGGUUGUAAACCGCUUCAGCCUGUGACGAAGCGUGAGUGACGGUAAUGGGUAAAGAAGCACCGGCUAACUACGUA
RNAcentral lists this ribosomal RNA (468 nucleotides) under uncultured bacterium. Its description in RNAcentral is "partial 16S ribosomal RNA". It matches the Rfam family "Bacterial small subunit ribosomal RNA", at positions 28 to 507 of the family's 1533-position model. The record is from RNAcentral.